Molecule: ribosomal RNA, 227 nt
Filed under: Clostridioides difficile
Lineage: Bacteria; Bacillati; Bacillota; Clostridia; Peptostreptococcales; Peptostreptococcaceae
Description: partial 16S ribosomal RNA
Rfam family: Bacterial small subunit ribosomal RNA
Source: RNAcentral
GCCUACAUGAAGCUGGAGUUACUAGUAAUCGCAGAUCAGAAUGCUGCGGUGAAUGCGUUCCCGGGUCUUGUACACACCGCCCGUCACACCACGGGAGUUGGAGACGCCCGAAGCCGAUUAUCUAACCGUUUGGAAGAAGUCGUCGAAGGUGGAAUCAAUAACUGGGGUGAAGUCGUAACAAGGUAGCCGUAUCGGAAGGUGCGGCUGGAUCACCUCCUUUCUAAGGA